Molecule: long non-coding RNA, 2529 nt
Organism: Sander lucioperca (pikeperch)
Lineage: Eukaryota; Metazoa; Chordata; Actinopteri; Perciformes; Percidae
Exons: 3
Source: RefSeq, a predicted model, not a curated record
GGACGAGAGCAGGCGGGAGCAGCCGGGGGCGGGGACAAAAAUCCGCUGUCAAGUCGGACACGUUUUCCAUUAGCCUUCAAAGCAUAUAAAGGAAGUCACAAACAUGUUUACAUCCUGUUUGAUCAUCUGCAGGCUACCUGUAGUUUGCAGAAAUGGUUGAGGAAAUCGCAUAUGCGUUUUUGAUGGCUGAGGAAAUUCAAUAUGAAGAGAUGCCCCUUCUUAUCCAUGAAGAUCGACUUCAACAGAGAAGGUUGGUUCCAAAGAUCCCACAUUUUGUUGAGGAAGUCGUACCUUUGUACAAUGUGACUGACUUUAAAAGUCAUUUCAGACUGUCGAGAGGACAAGUAGAGGAUGUAAUGACGAUGUUGGGACCAUUCUAUACAAACAGACAGCACACCAAGUUGCCUGUAACCUACGCUUUCUUGCCUGCCUGUGGACUCUAGCCAACCAGGAGUCAUAUAGGGGUGUUGCAGACAGAUUCAACAUUUCAAAAUCCACCAUGUCAACCGAUCUCCAUCACUUCUGUUCCCUGGUCAACACACAUCUGUCACAUCACAUUUCAUGGCCCACAGGGGAAGCACUUCACACAUCGCAAUUACAUUUUCAAACAGCCGGCUUUCCAAAAACAGUCUGUGCUCUUGAUGGAUGUCACAUUCCCAUUGUCAAACCGUUUUGCAACAACCCCAUAGCCUAUUAUAACAGGAAACAGUUUUACUCCAUCAUUCUCACGGGAUUCUGUGACAGCGAGCGCCGCUUUUGUCAUGUCAGUGUAGGUCACCCUGGAAGUUGGCAUGAUGCAAGAGCAUUUCGAUACUGAUGUAGCACGACAACUGGAAUUGAAUCCUCAGGGUCUGGUACCAGAGGGAAUGCACAUCAUUGCUGAUUCAGCCUACCCUUUGUUGCUACAUUUGAUGAAGCCCUACAGGGAUAAUGGGCGCUUUAACAGAAAGCUCAAUACAGCUCAUGUGGCCAUUGAGCAUGCAUUUGGCAUCUUAAAGACAAAGUUCAGGAGGCUCAAGUGUCUGCACAUGAAAUAAGUGGCAAACAUCAGUGCAGCAGUCACAUUCUACACAUUUGUUUAGAUUCUGGUGACCGGGUUGAUGAAGAUGAGCAAGGUCUUCUUCAACAGGACAUUGAGGAGCCACACCCACCACAGCCCAACAACCUUGAUGCCUUCCAUUACAGAGACAUGAUUUGUGCCCACCUUUAAGGAUAAGACACACUUUAGUUUACAGUCAUACCCCCUUUUUUCCUCUUUCAUUUACAGGUUUUUGUGAGCUGGUGUGCAGUAUGCCACCGGGUGAUGUGAGGCACCUUGGGUCAAAUGCCAAGUUCAAAGUAGUAAUACAAUGUUGCAGUGUUUUAAAAAGGCUCUAAGGAGGGUUGCAGCAAAUGUGUAAGGGUCAUAUAACAAUUUAAUGACUAACUUUUGAGAUGGUUACCAUACAGUUUUAACCCUAAGGCAUUUUGAUUUGAAGUGCCUCUACAUUAUCAAGACUUCUGCUGUGCCUCUGAGUGGCAGCUCAUGGUAACUGGGUGGGAAGAACCCAGGCUAAAUCAGCAGGGGAUCGUGGGAGUAUUUCACCACUGUGACCACUCAUUUUCUGGUGUUAAAGUUUCUUUAUGUAUCAAUACGACAGCCACAUAAUAUCAUUUAACAUCUUUAUUUUCAGUUAGGUCAAGAUUUGACCCAUGCAGGUCACCAUCUUCUUUUCACGUGACCUUAUUUUUUCUUUUAGGCGUCUCCACCGUGUCACUUCUGGCCUCACCAGUGACUCCAACGCAGCCGUCCUUCUCUCAGCAUGGGCCCGGUAUGCAUCAUGGAAUGAUGUGGUGCCCUUUUUCUGUGCGGUACGUUUUGUAGUGGGGAUGGCAGUUGAGGGACCAGGCUGGGGAUCUUCAUUGUCGGAUGGAUGAAUAACUUCUGAGGGAGUUUGACUAGGGAGGAGUGGUGAUGGAUUUUGACUGGGGAAGAGUGGUGUGGAAAUAAUGGUGCCGAGUGGUGCACUCCCCACCCCGGAGCCACCAAAUAUUUCAUCCAUUUGCUGUAAAAAAAGGACAGUUUUAGUUAACAUCAAGACAGACACAAAUAGGUAUUUUAACAUUCCUUGCUGUGAUAAUGUACCCCCUUCCAGAGUGUGCUGAUGAAGCCCUAUAGCUGUGGGUGGAAAAAUACUGAGAAAGAAUUAUGGAAGACUGAUAACAUUUCAGAAAGUCCCACUAUAACAUUUAAGAUGUACAUACAGAGCAGGCACUUACCAGGUAUAGGUAAUAUACCCAGCUGAUUUUGCCCUCUCCUGUUGCUCGUGAUCUGUCCUUAGCCCUUUUGUGGUAAAGUGGUAAGCAUGUUACCAAGUUUCUUCCUUAUCCAGUGUGAAUGUGUAUCCUCUUUCUGUGAAGGUAUGUUCCAGUUUUUUUGUAAAAGGCUGUUUUGUUGUUGUAGAUGUGUUGGUAUUGUCUGUUAGCUCCAGUAGCAGCAAUGUAGUUCUGUGUGUGAAUUCUGUAAAAACAUUGCAGUGUUGUUAAAAG